AUGCUGCUUCAAAGAAAACCACAUACACAUACGUCACGGCUUCAAGGUACACCCAGCCAGCAGAGUCCAGAAUUUAUGAUGAAAUUCUCCAGUCCAAGGUGCUCCCCUCCAAGGGAAGAGCUGGUGAACACAGUUUAUUCCGAAGUGCAGUUAUCUGAUAAGAUGGGGAAAGCCAGCACACAGGACAGUAAACCUCCUGGGACUUCAAGUUACGAAAUUGUGAUCUAGGCUGCCGGGCUGAGUUUUCCCUCUGGAAACUGAAUUGCAGCCACCAAUACUGGCAGGUUCCCUGAACCCAGAUCUCCACCCAGCUCUUAGUAGGAGAAUGAAAAUUGCCAUAUUUCAACAUGGAAGCAAAGCCGGAAACCUUCUGUUACUGGGCAUAGCUUAUGCCUAAGUGGACAAAUGGAUGCAUACCCUUCCUGAAAUGGCUCCCUUCUGGAUGAAUGACGAAGCAGGCUACCUAAUAUGGUGUUUCCCAAACUUCUUCCCAUCGUAGUAUAUGUAGAAAAUAAUAUUUUUAUGGCACACUGGGGUAAACAAUCAAGAUCGCUCACAUCUGGAAGCCGCAUAUGACCAGAGGCCUCUCGUGACUGAAGGUAACAAACUGCCCAGCAACUGUGGGAGAAGGGGAUCAAUGUUUUGCACACCUGUAACAGGCCACUGGCACACCAGCCAAGAUGCUGUGCUCACCUCACCAUCAAUAUGUGUGAAGAUCCCCGGUGCAUGGCCUCCCCCAGUCCCUACCUCACAAAUCUGGAAAAGGUACCCUUCACUUGAGGCAGAUGCAGCCCUUUACCCGGGUGCAUGGCUUGGAGGGCAGAACGUGGGCUGCAUAUAAGCACACUCAUCGCUUUCUCUGGAAAUCUUUGUGCCCAGGCACAACGUGCUCAGUAACUCCAAACACAAAUGAUGAUGCUGUGUGGGUCUCUGUCAGAGUGGUGGCUCUCAGCCAUGUCAACACGCUCUCCAAAUGGAGUGUUGGAAAAUGUUCUUUCUGUAGGGUCUGGAGACUGCUGGGCAUUUUUCGUGGCGUGCUACUUCAGAAGCCUCGUAGGAUUUUCUUUCUGGCUAAGCUUUCCUUCUGUAUCACUCCAAGCAGCCUCAGCGGAAGAAGCAGUCAUGCCCGGUUUUCUCGCUUUCUGAAAGGAAUUGACCAGCUUAUAUUUCUCACACUUCUGGGGAACUGGGUGUAAUCCAACCAUCAAAACAGAAGACCUUGCAAGAAGCAGAGUCAUCCUCCAGAAGGAACUUGGGAGAUGAUGGUGCAGAUUAUGAAUCUGGGUUCAUCCCAGUUCCAAAGGCCCAGAGAACUACAGAGUUGAGGCGGAGGCAGACUGCCCCGACCCCGGCAUCUGGUAUGAACUAGAACCGUCAAAAAAAGACCUUAUGAGGGGGCAGGGCUGAAGCUGGGCCUUGAAGGAUGGAUGAAAUUUGGAUAGAGAAUGAGGAAGACGGGGACUCUCCAAGUGAAAGAAGCAUGAAAAAUGAGCAGGGGCCUGGAUCAGUGGGGUGUAUUCAGAGCACCUCUCCAGAUGCACCAUGCAUGCUCACAGUCCCUUGCCUAUGCAUAACAGGGUGGCCCAGCCAGACAAGUGCCCUUCACCCCGUGUCCAUUUACAUGCCCUUCAAUAACCACCUCAAAUGGGCGUUAUACCUCUUCUAUAAAGCCUUCCCUGGUAUCAGGAGUCAAAAUUAAUCAGGGAUCUUUUCACAUGGCUGUUUUGUCCCCUUUGAUCCUUCUAUCACUAGAACUCAUCUCAUUCUACCUUACAGCAUCAAUAAUUAUUUGUUUUCCUCACUACAUUGUACAUGUUGGAAUUGGCGAUAGACAGAAGCCGGCUGGGUGUGGUGGCCCACACCUGUAAUCCCAGCACUUUGGGAGGCCAAGGUGGGCCGAUCACCUAAGGUCAGGAGUUCAAGACCAGCUUGGCCA
Molecule: non-coding RNA, 1936 nt
Organism: Saimiri boliviensis boliviensis (Bolivian squirrel monkey)
Lineage: Eukaryota; Metazoa; Chordata; Mammalia; Primates; Cebidae
Source: RefSeq, a predicted model, not a curated record